GCCAACGUGGCGUAGUGGUUUGAAUGUUGGACUAUGAAUCUAGAGACCAGGGUUCGAUUCCCCUCUUGGCC
RNAcentral lists this transfer RNA (71 nucleotides) under Phrynosoma platyrhinos (Desert horned lizard). Its description in RNAcentral is "tRNA-OTHER". Lineage: Eukaryota; Metazoa; Chordata; Lepidosauria; Squamata; Phrynosomatidae. The record is from RNAcentral.